This is a long non-coding RNA of Homo sapiens (human), 2988 nucleotides long. RefSeq lists it as uncharacterized. The transcript is spliced from 2 exons. The record is from RefSeq and is a predicted model, not a curated record. Lineage: Eukaryota; Metazoa; Chordata; Mammalia; Primates; Hominidae.
UUGUCAAUACAAAAAUAAAAUUUUUUAAAAGAGAGCUUGAGUCAGGCCAUGGAAGCAGAGACAGGAGCGGGCUCUGCUCAGUGUGGUAUCUGCCAGGCAGGCUCCCUUACUCCUGCUUCUACCUUCAAGGCUCUUGUGACUUUGCUUGGGCUGGCAACGCACAGCACUGUGGCUGCUCUGAGAGUGAGGACCAGCCCAGCCUCCCCCUGCCAAGCCCACCCGGACUGUUUCAUCAUUAGCGCCCCUCCUCAUCCACAGCUCCGCUUAGGGCAGAAACAGGCAAAGGCACCUUCCCUAAAGCAAAAGAGAUUUCAGCAGACCCAAGGAUGACUCAGCUGUGGGAUCCUUUGUGGGCAACUGGAUUGUGCAGUAUUAGUGAAAAUAUGUAGAGAGAGAGAGGAGGAAGAAAGGAAGGCAAGAAGGGAGGAGAUGCACAAUCAGAUUCAUCUUCACAAGAAUUUUGUAAAGCAGGAAUUACUGUACCCAUUUUACAGAUGGAAAACCAAUCGCAUUUAAGCCACCUGUCAAGAUCGUUUCUAGUAAGUAAGAAAUAGAUCUAAGCUACUAGUCCAGAUCUGUCUGACUGUAAAGCUGCUGCUUUCUUUUCCAAGAAUAAGGUCCCUAAUCACACCACUGUAGCAGAGCAACUGUUAUUUUUUAAAAUCCCCUUCCAAUCUUCUCUUGUUCAGGUGCCGUAAAGGUAUGUAUCUUCCUUUUGUUCGCUUAAUAUUAUAUCAUAAACACUUGCAAUAUUGCUAAAUAGUCUUUAUUAUUAUAAUAAUCACUUUUACAUAAUAUUCCACCCUGUGGACAUGCGGUGACUCACUUAGUCAUCACUAAAUAUUUAGGUGGUUUCACCGUCUCAGGAUUGUAAAUCCUCCCUGCCCCCACCCUUCCUCUGUCAGGCUCCCCUGACAUGAAUCAGGGCUCCCACUUGCCCCAUGUCUGGAAGGUUAUGUAGGUCACCGGGACCUGGUUAUGCCUGCCAUAGUGCAGCAAGGCAUUCUAGAGUUUCUCAGAAGGCUGAAGCUGCUGAGAAAGUUAAGUCCUCUUCCUCUUCCUCUUCCUUCCCACUGCCAGGCUUGGCAUGGACUCCCCUGCCACUGCCUUCACCCACCCGGGCCACAAAAUUGCAGCUGGUGCAGACUGGAGAUGCCAAAGGCUGGUUGAGGUGGGUUUGGGCUCUUGCAGCUGGUGAAGGCAGCCCCAUGCCCAGACAUCUCAGGAGCCAAAGGGCACCCAGGUGACCCCAAGGACUGGUCAGCAAUGAGUCCAGCACUGGGAUGGGAGCCGGAUCCCUGAAAAGAGCCCACAGCCUUGCUUGGUCCCCAUUUCCUUGAGAAGCCCCUUCCGGAGAGUUUUCUGUGUUUUGCCCCUCAGGGAACAUGGCCACAUCCCAAACUGGCUCCCCAGCAGCUCCAGGCUGGACUGUGGAAGCAGAAACCCUCCUGGCAGGCAAGCAGACACCACAACCGCCUAAGCCGAUCGAAUGCCUGCUGCACUGCUGAAGAGGAAACAGAGUCGUGGCCUCCGGGAGGGGGCUCAAACCUGUGACUGGUGCAUGUUCGCCAUUAGACACACUGGCUGGUGACCAGCAGCCCCACCUACAGAAUUCCCUGGAAUGAGGAAUGGCAUUCCUGAGACCACUCAGCAGAGACUACCUCAAAAGGCGCUGCUCAAUGCCAGGAAAUGCAGCGAGAGAAAAUCCCCUUCCGGUGCCACCUCUGUGGCCAGCACACAGGUCCCCUGCUCAGCGGGUGUGUGUAGACGUGCCCUCAGGAAGCUCAGCCCAAGGCCCUCUGGAAGUGGCCACAGCUGGACCACACGGAACUCAUCCACUGCUUCUUUGGAGCUCCAGGAAAGCGCCAGAAGAGGGGCACUGAGGCAGAGGGAAAGCUAAGCAGCCUGUGGCUCAGGGGACUACCUUGCAACUGCUUGAAUGUAAAGCAGGCAGAGAAAUCCUCCUGGGAACCUGAGGCCAGGUGUAUGAGUGGGAUUUAAGAGAGGCCAGCGCCCCUUCCGGGGUGGCCCCAGCCCAGGAGGAGGGCGUGAGAGGCACACCUGGGAAGUGUCAGAGCCUGACAGGCGUGAGCUGGAGGCCUGGCAGGAGAGUGCUCUCACCACCUGACCAUCCUGGAAAGCUGUCAAAGUCCCAGUGCCCAUGCCACACCCCACAACAAUCCAAUCAAACUCUUUGGAGGUAGGACCCAGGCGUCUCUGAUUUUUAAAAUUUCCAGGUAAUUAAAAUAUUCAGCCAUGCUUGAGAACCAGUGCUUUAAAGAGAUAUCUGAUGCAUCCCAGGCUCAUCAAACAAAACAAGUAGGGCUCUUCCUGAGUGAUUCAUCAAGCUACCUUCUCUCUAGAGGCCCUCUUCACUACUCUAGUCUCUCCAAAUCCCUGCCAUUCCUCCACAUCCAUCUCCAUUGCCACCUCCUGAUGGGAGCCCUCCAUGGCUGCCCCAGCUGCAGUGAGUGCCUUUCUUCAAGGGCCCCUGUCACUGAGGACCUGCAUAGCCAUACAUAGCCAUCAGCUGACAGGUGUUUGCCCGUCCAUUUGAGCAAUCCAUUCCUGUGGGGGCAGGUACUAUGUUGUCCAUCAUGCUUUCUCACAACCUGCUGACCUACCACCUACCACAAUUCACUGCCCACAUUAUAUGCUCAAUUAGUGUUUUCUGGCUGACUUACAUCCUAGUGCAUUUCAACAUUUCAAGCAAUCUUGGUAAGAGAGUUGAAAGAAUGUCUGAUUCAAAUUAGUGGUUUUGUUGGUGAUCAGUGAUUGUGGUGAUAGAGAUGUAUAUGAUAGGAAUGGUAUAGGAAGAAUGGCCAAGAAAUGCCUCUCAGGCUGUCUCCCAAGAUGGUAUGUAUAACCCAUAUAGCCCAAUCCUCAGGUGGUCCAGUCCCUGCACUGAACAUCUUCAAAGAUGUGGUAGUUCCACAGGGCAGUAGGCAAUGACAGGUAUUUUCUAAUUAAAAGCACUUCAAAUAUUUA